RNAcentral lists this ribosomal RNA (460 nucleotides) under uncultured bacterium. RNAcentral describes it as "partial 16S ribosomal RNA". It matches the Rfam family "Bacterial small subunit ribosomal RNA", at positions 338 to 795 of the family's 1533-position model. The record is from RNAcentral.
CCUACGGGAGGCAGCAGUGAGGAAUAUUGGUCAAUGGACGAGAGUCUGAACCAGCCAAGCAGCGUGAAGGAUGACUGCCCUAUGGGUUGUAAACUUCUUUUAUAUGGGAAUAAAAUGUUCCACGUGUGGGAUUUUGUAUGUACUAUAUGAAUAAGGAUCGGCUAACUCCGUGCCAGCAGCCGCGGUAAUACGGAGGAUCCGAGCGUUAUCCGGAUUUAUUUGGUUUAAAGGGAGCGUAGGUGGAUUGUUAAGUCAGUUGUGAAAGUUUGCGGCUCAACCGUAAAAUUGCAGUUGAUACUGGCAGUCUUGAGUACAGUAGAGGUAGGCGGAAUGCGUGGUGUAGCGGUGAAAUGCUUAGAUAUCACGAAGAACUCCGAUUGCGAAGGCAGUUCACUAGACUGCAACUGACACUGAGGCUCGAAAGUGUGGGUAUCAAACAGGAUUAGAUACCCUUGUAGUC